CCAGACUCCUACGGGAGGCAGCAGUGGGGAAUAUUGCACAAUGGGGGAAACCCUGAUGCAGCGACGCCGCGUGAAGGAAGAAGUAUUUCGGUAUGUAGACUUCUAUCAGCAGGGAAGAAAAUGACGGUACCUGACUAAGAAGCCCCGGCUAACUACGUGCCAGCAGCCGCGGUAAUACGUAGGGGGCAAGCGUUAUCCGGAUUUACUGGGUGUAAAGGGAGCGUAGGCGGCGAUGCAAGUCAGAAGUGAAAGCCCGGGGCUCAACUCCGGGACUGCUUUUGAAACUGUAUGGCUAGAUUGCAGGAGAGGCAAGUGGAAUUCCUAGUGUAGCGGUGAAAUGCGUAGAUAUUAGGAGGAACACCAGUGGCGAAGGCGGCUUGCUGGACUGUAAAUGACGCUGAGGCUCGAAAGCGUGGGUAUCGAACAGGAUUAGAUACCCCGGUAU
This 445-nucleotide ribosomal RNA is filed under the name uncultured bacterium. RNAcentral describes it as "bacterial SSU rRNA". It matches the Rfam family "Bacterial small subunit ribosomal RNA", at positions 331 to 793 of the family's 1533-position model. The record is from RNAcentral.